AUGGGUUAAUCCAUUUUUAAUAGAUUAUAUCAGCAAAGACAAACGUUAAAUUCAAAGAUAAUGUCACUGCUCACAUUUCUUUAAUGCCGUUAUUCCAAAUCCUCUGAAAACAUUGUUUCCCCGUUUACACAAAAAAGAAAAAAGCACCGUCUC
Long non-coding RNA from Thalassophryne amazonica, 153 nucleotides. RefSeq lists it as uncharacterized. Lineage: Eukaryota; Metazoa; Chordata; Actinopteri; Batrachoidiformes; Batrachoididae. The record is from RefSeq and is a predicted model, not a curated record. The transcript is spliced from 3 exons.